GAUGAAGAACGUAGCGAAAUGCGAUACUUGGUGUGAAUUGCAGAAUCCCGUGAACCAUCGAGUCUUUGAACGCAAGUUGCGCCUGAAGCCAUUAGGCCGAGGGCACGCCUGCCUGGGCGUCACACGUCGUUGCCCCCCCAUCUACUCCUUCGGGAUUGCGGGGGGCGGAUGAUGGCCUCCCGUGCGCCUCGUCGCGCGGUUGGCAUAAAUGCCAAGUCCUCGGCGACGCACGCCACGACAACCGGUGGUUGCGAAACCUCGGUUGCCCGUCGUGUGCGGUCGUCGCGCAUCGAGGGCUCGAAAAAAUUGCCGGGCUCCGGCUCGGCUUUCAACGCGACCCCAGGUCAGGCGGGGUUACCCGCUGAAUUUAAGCAUAUCAAUAAGCGGAGGA
This 391-nucleotide unclassified non-coding RNA is filed under the name soil metagenome. RNAcentral's name for it is "partial contains 5.8S ribosomal RNA, internal transcribed spacer 2, and large subunit ribosomal RNA". The stretch from base 1 to 122 matches the Rfam family "5.8S ribosomal RNA", at positions 35 to 154 of the family's 154-position model. The record is from RNAcentral.